CCCGGAGAUCAGCUGAAUAGAUUCCAAAACGUGAAGUGUCCCUUUAACUUGAACAAGCAACUUAACAUUUUGUCUUAACAGGGAACAAACUCAGAAGUCUAACAUUACCCAACAGUUUUUGUGGUUAACAGAAAGCAUUUUAAUAUGAAUGAAAGGAUGUAUAUUUGAUCUUAUUUGGUCUUCUCUUUUAUAGUUUUGGCCACCACCACAGUGGUACCCUAGGGCAGAACAUGGUGUUGUUAAGUGGUUGAGUCAUAGGUUUAGUUUUACCUUAGGGCAGCUUUGAUUCUCUUUAGUUUUUACAUUGUUGACUUUGACGUGAAAUAUUUAAAUGUUAAGUUAUAGCUUUCCAUAGCAUCCCUUAUGUUAAGGAUUUAAUCUGUAUAAAGUAUUCAGAUCCUAAUGGUUUGAAAGGUUAUUUCCUUCACAAUGUGAUUUCUGAAUGUCUCUUGUAGUUGUACUAGUAUAUAAGCUUACAUUUAUAACGCGGUUACUUCACAUUUUUAUUACACGGUUCUAUUAUUUGCCUUUGUUUCCUAACUAAACACCAAUAUCUGUGUUGUGAUUCUGAACACUUUUUUAAAUAAAUAUACACAUGCAAUACUGUUGAACCUCUUAAAACCUAUAGUAAAGUUAAUGCUUUGAUUGUUUACAAUUACAAUGUCAUACACAUUUUCUGAAAAUGAGCACCUUAAACACUAUCGCUGAA
Paramisgurnus dabryanus is the source of this 709-nucleotide long non-coding RNA. RefSeq lists it as uncharacterized. Lineage: Eukaryota; Metazoa; Chordata; Actinopteri; Cypriniformes; Cobitidae. The record is from RefSeq and is a predicted model, not a curated record.